GUUCAUAACUCUUGACCACCCACUUCCUGUUUUCCUUUGUUAUAUGCAACAGUGAAUAUAGGUAUUUCUGGGAAGGUCACUGCUAGAGGUGACAACUCCGGCAACCACGGAGCAUGUAAAGCUUUUUAAAAAGAGGGGAUUGGUUGUAAAAUGGUGCCACGUGUUGAACAUCUGGCUAACAUGUGUAUCAGACCUUCUGAAGUGGUUCGACUGAUCAUAUAGAAAUGUUUAUUUGCCUCCUGGGUGCAAUUACACGUUCCCUUCUUUUUUUUUUUUUUUUAAAAAGUCUAUCACUCAUAUCUGGAUACAGACCUGAUACAUAAGACACAUUAAAGCAGGGUCAUAAUCCUAAACCGCAAAAACGACUAGCUGGUGUGAUCUGAACAGACUGUGUAGUGAUCAGUCUAUAAUACAAAUGUCCAACAGUGAGAAAAAACACAAAUGUAGCUUUAAGAGCUUAUAGCUGAAAAUGUUAACACCCAUAAGUAAUUGUUUUGAGGGUGAAAAAUAUAUUUAUAUAAAAUUAUAUGGUGAUGUUUUCUCUGAUUUUGGAAGCAUUUUUGGAAGGAGUCUCCAAUGACAGCACUUUCUCACGUGUCUUAAAACACGGGAAAAUCAUCAGAACAGACAGCUUUGCGGUUUCUCAUUAACAUGACAACCUGCGGUUUUUUUUGUCUAAUUAACUUAGAGUGUAAAUAAAAAGACCUUAAUGAGGGAACAACUGUUUAUAAUUGCUACAACGUACACCCAUCUGCCAUAACAUUAAAACCAGCUGCCUAAGGUUUUGUAGGUCCAACUUAUGCCGCCAAAACUACUGAAGGUUGAGACAUCUGAAGGUGUGCUGUGGUAUCUGGCACCAAGACGUUAACAGCAGAUCCACUAGGUCCUGUGAGUUGCGAGGUGAGGCCUCCAAGGAUCAGACUUGUUUGUCCAACACGUCCCAGAGAUGCUCAAUCGGAUUGAGAUCUGGGAAAUCUGGAGGCCAAGUCAACACCUUGAACUCUGUCAUGUUCCUCAAACCAUUCCUGAACAAUAUCCUGCUGAAAGAGACCACUGUCAUUAGGAAAUACCGUUGUCAUGAAAUGGUGUACUUGGGCUGCAACAAUAUUUAGGUAGGUGGAACGUGUCAAAGUAACAUCCACAUGAAUGUCAGGACCCAAGGUUUCCCAGCAGCGCAUUGCCCGGAGCAUCACAGUGCCUCCACUGGCUUGCCUUCUUCCCAUAGUGCAUCCUGAUGCCAUCAUUUACCCAGGUAAGUUACGCACACGCACCCAGCCAUCCACAUGAUGUAAAAGACAACGUGAUUCAUCAGACCAGGUCACCUUCUUCCAUUGCUCAAUGGUCCAGUUCUGAUGCUCACGAGCACAUUGUAGUGGACAGGGGUCAGCAUGGGCUCUCUGACCAGUCCCAGGCUACUAACGCAGCAAGCUGUGACACACAGACUGUGUGUUCUGGCAUUCAAUGGCAUGUGCUCUGCCUACCGCCGAAAGUGCCUACAAUGAGCAUGUGGGCAUCUAAACUUCUUUUACAUCAUGUGGAUGGCUGGGUGUGUGUUUGUGUGUGUGUUGCUUACCUGAGGAAGACAUUAAGCCAGCAGAGGAAGUGGGCUGCUCUGGGAAACCUUGGGUCCUGGCAUUCAUGUGGAUGUUACUUUGACACAUACCACCUACCUAAACACUGCUGCAGAUCAAGUACACCAAUUUGUGACAAUGGUGUUCCCUAACGUCAGUGGACUCUUUCAGCAGGAUAAUGCACUAACUGUUGAGGAAUGGUUUGAGGAACAUAACAAAGAGUUCAAGGUGUUGUUGACUUGGCCUCCAAACUCAAGCCGAUUGAGCAUCUGUGGGAUGUGUUGGACAAAUAAGUCUGAUCAAUGGAGGUCCUGCCUCACAACUUUCAACACUUAAAGAAUCUGCUGUUAACGUCUUGGUGCCAGACACCAUAGCACAACUUCAGAGGUCUCGUGGAGUCCAUGCCUCGACGAGUCAGAACUGUUUUGGUGGCACAAGGUGCAUCUACACGGUAUUAGGCAGCUGGUUUUACCGUUAUGGCCGAUCAGUGUAAACAUAAACAUAAUAACAAACGAAUCGACUGUACGCGUCUUUCUUUAAUAAACGAACUUUGGGAUGGCAACACAUUUCCUAGAAAAUAAUGAGUUUUAUCCUUCACUGCUUUUGCAUACAUGAUCAAAUUAAAAUACAUAAAAUUGUUCUGGUGCUGCUAUCCUACAGUCAGAGCAGCACUUCAGUCCAGUAUGUGAUAGUCACACAAUGCUAUUAUAAUAAUAAUAAUUAUUAUUAUUAUUAUUAUUGUUUUGGGGGUUUUUUUUAGGACAAAAGUACAUUAUAGAUCUUUAUGUUGCCUUAUGAAUUGGACAUCCUUUAAAUCUGGCCAAAAUCAAUGCCUACAUGUGUGGACUCCUGCUGAACACUGACUAUAUUUCAAAAGCGUCCAUGAUAACAAUACUACGCACAUCACCGCUUUAUGUAUUAGUGUUUAUAAUAAUAAUAAUAAUAAUAAUAAUAAUAAUAAUGAAUUUUAUUUCUAAUGCGCUUUUCUCAUACCCAGGGCGUGUGAAAGGUGAAAGACUUGCUUCUAUUAAAAAACGUCCAACAUAAACUUUAUUUCAGAGAUGUAAUACACGGUACACCUCACAAUAAUCAGUAACCAACACACACACACACACACACACACACACACACACACACACACACACACACUUUUAAUCCUAGUCUUAAACCACACCCAAAAGUGCACACUUUUCAGGAGUGUGUAAGGCCUGCAGCAACAUGUUAUUUCAACCAAACACAACAACAAAAAUAAUAAUAAUAAUAAUAAUAAUAAUAAACACCAUCCUUCUGUCUUGUUUUACCUUUUUUGGGACAUUAUUUCGAUAUAAAACCUACACAUUAACUUACAUUUGAGAUAAAAGAUUUGCAUUCAUUAAUUAAAAUAAAAUAAUAAGAUCUCUUAUUAAACCUGGACAAAUACUAAUUUAAUCUUCUUAAAUGCCCCCAUUAUUAUUAAACACUAUUAGUUAGGAGCAACAUCUGGGGCAUAUGAAUAAAACUUAGAGCACUACAUGCGCUUAUGAUCCUAAACCAUUACAUUACUGCUUCAACUCAACAACACACAAUGUGUUUAAUCCUAUUUAAGACCUAUUACACUUACACAGACUCUUCUUUUAAAACCCAGCUAUGGGUUUUUACUGCUGGAAAGAGAUUUCCAGUAAAAGGUAUUUCCUGCUCCGCUUCUCUGAGUAGAAAUCCUUUCAUCUCUGUCUGCUCUGUAUUACACGCUCUUCUCAUCGGAAAUAUCCAAAACACUAUCCCUGUCUUUCGGUUACGCUUCUCUUUUUUUGGUUUGUUUGUUUGUUUUGGGGUUGUUGUUUUUUUAACUUACCGCUUUUCUUCAAUUUCCUUCCAACCUCUGCAAAAAGCGAAAAGAAAAUGAACAGACUGGGCUGUAACCACUGAACGUUGAAAAUGGUCGAAACGUUGGCGAGAGGUGUAGUUUUUCCCACCCGUAUUCCCACCCGACUCCACCCCCACCUUGUGCUGAACGACCGACUUUCUGAACUGCUAGUGGCUGCUAGUGUCAACGCACGAUGAGUUUAUUGGAUGGCCAACAAAAAAACAGCCUGUUAGAGAAAGAAAGGCGGGAUUAUAUAAUAUGGGUGUGUUUUAAAAAAUUGGAAAAAAAACGAACGCCAGCUGGGAAACAUUCCCGCAGCUUACACGCUUCCGGUUUUCCUACUUUCAUUCCAACUUCCGGGUUACAGAGUCAUAGCGCCCCCUCUGACGAAAAACAUGAGUGAAAAUAAGUAUUUCUGAAAUAGAAAAAAAAAAUCUGGUACCACUUUAUCCUGGUCUGGGUUGUGGUAGAUCCAUAGCCUAUCCCAGGAACCAUGUGUGCGAGGUGGAAACACACCCUGGAUGAAAUGCUAGUCCAUGGGCCCUCCAUACCUAGGGGCAGUUUACAGUCGCCAGUCUAAAGAACCCAGAGGAAACCCAUGAGGACCCUGGGAGAACACGGUCCCGGGGAGCCUGUCCCAGGGGACUCGGGGCACAAGGCGGGGACGCCCUGGACGGAGGGCACAAUUGCACACCAAUUCACACAAUACGGACAAUUUAGAGAUGCCAAUCAGCCUACAACGCAUGUCUUUGGACUGAGAGAGGAAACCGGAGUACCCAGAGGAAACCCCUGAAACAUGGGGAGAACAUGCAAACUCCAAGUAUACAGGGCGAUGGUAGGAACUGAACUCCCAACCCUGGAGAUGUGAGGCAAACAUGCUAACCACUAAGCCACUUUGCCUCUGCCAAUAAA
This is a long non-coding RNA of Ictalurus punctatus (channel catfish), 4326 nucleotides long. NCBI's taxonomy places the organism in Eukaryota, Metazoa, Chordata, Actinopteri, Siluriformes, Ictaluridae. The record is from Ensembl.